CAACAAGUCAUAGUCUACCUCA
This 22-nucleotide microRNA is filed under the name Salmo salar (Atlantic salmon). RNAcentral describes it as "ssa-miR-7a-5-3p". Its record names the gene ssa-miR-7a-5-3p. Lineage: Eukaryota; Metazoa; Chordata; Actinopteri; Salmoniformes; Salmonidae. The record is from miRBase by way of RNAcentral.